This is a non-coding RNA of Salmo salar (Atlantic salmon), 105 nucleotides long. The record is from RefSeq and is a predicted model, not a curated record. NCBI's taxonomy places the organism in Eukaryota, Metazoa, Chordata, Actinopteri, Salmoniformes, Salmonidae.
GGGGUAUAAGGUUACCUACCUACAGGUUCAUAAUUAACAGAGGGGUAUAAGGUUACCUACAGGUUCAUAAUUAACAGAGGGGUAUAAGGUUACCUACAGGUUCAU